This 342-nucleotide ribosomal RNA is filed under the name Triticum aestivum (bread wheat). RNAcentral's name for it is "partial small subunit ribosomal RNA". Lineage: Eukaryota; Viridiplantae; Streptophyta; Magnoliopsida; Poales; Poaceae. The record is from RNAcentral.
AUGUGUAUAGUUGCACUUCCUUUAUUAUUGCGCUUUCCAACUUUUGAUUGUUAUUUUUACAUUUUUUUUAUCUCUAUCAUACCAACAUUUCGUUCAUGUGCAGAUAAUAAUAGAAAAGCUUUAAUUGAUUUGAACAAACGUCUUGAAAUAAUUGAAGGAAUAGCAGAAGGACUUCUUUACCUACAUAUGCACUCUCGGUUGUGUGUCAUACAUCGAGACCUUAAACCAAGCAACAUUCUCUUGGACAACGAAAUGAAUCCUAAAAUUUCAGACUUUGGACUGGCAAAAAUAUUUAGCUCUAAUGCUGAAGGAAUCAUUACGAGAAGAGUGGCUGGUACAUAG